AGCUAACGCGUUAAAUCGACCGCCUGGGGAGUACGGCCGCAAGGUUAAAACUCAAAUGAAUUGACGGGGGCCCGCACAAGCGGUGGAGCAUGUGGUUUAAUUCGAUGCAACGCGAAGAACCUUACCUGGUCUUGACAUCCACAGAACUUGGCAGAGAUGCCUUGGUGCCUUCGGGAACUGUGAGACAGGUGCUGCAUGGCUGUCGUCAGCUCGUGUUGUGAAAUGUUGGGUUAAGUCCCGCAACGAGCGCAACCCUUAUCCUUUGUUGCCAGCGGUCCGGCCGGGAACUCAAAGGAGACUGCCAGUGAUAAACUGGAGGAAGGUGGGGAUGACGUCAAGUCAUCAUGGCCCUUACGACCAGGGCUACACACGUGCUACAAUGGCGCAUACAAAGAGAAGCGACCUCGCGAGAGCAAGCGGACCUCAUAAAGUGCGUCGUAGUCCGGAUUGGAGUCUGCAACUCGACUCCAUGAAGUCGGAAUCGCUAGUAAUCGUGGAUCAGAAUGCCACGGUGAAUACGUUCCCGGGCCUUGUACACACCGCCCGUCACACCAUGGGAGUGGGUUGCAAAAGAAGUAGGUAGCUUAACCUUCGGGAGGGCGCUUACCACUUUGUGAUUCAUGACUGGGGUGAAGUCGAAAGGGGGGGCC
This 650-nucleotide ribosomal RNA is filed under the name Enterobacter cloacae. Its description in RNAcentral is "bacterial SSU rRNA". It matches the Rfam family "Bacterial small subunit ribosomal RNA", at positions 850 to 1500 of the family's 1533-position model. The record is from RNAcentral. Lineage: Bacteria; Pseudomonadati; Pseudomonadota; Gammaproteobacteria; Enterobacterales; Enterobacteriaceae.